CUUUCACAAUCUCCACAAGCUUCUUCCAACCACUCGAAAUCUCCAAAUCCUCGCAGUUCGGAUCCAAAUUGAAGGUGAUCACCAGCAACAACAUCGUCUGUUCUGGUGCAACAGAAGACAAAAGCAAUGAAAAGGGAUCGUUAAAAGCCUGGUCGGCAGCUCUCGCUCUCUCUUCCAUCUUGGUUUCGUCGACUAUCCCGGCGCUUCCAGCCUCCGCCGACAUCUCCGGACUCACUCCGUGUAAAGAGUCCAAACAGUUCGCCAAGAGAGAGAAGCAGUCGCUGAAGAAGCUUGAAAGCUCUCUCAAGCUUUACGCCCCCGAGAGUGCUCCUGCACUUGCUAUUAAGGCUACAAUGGAAAAGACCAAGCGCAGGUAAGUUCUGUACAUUUUAUAACAACUUUUAUGUUUCUUAAGUUAGAUUUCUUACUUCAAUUCGAAUAUUAGCACAAUCGAUUUCUUAAUUGGGGAUGAAAUUGUUUGUUUGAGUGUAGAUUUGACAACUAUGGAAAGCAAGGAUUGUUGUGUGGAUCUGAUGGGCUUCCACACUUGAUAGUGAGUGGAGAUCAAAGGCAUUGGGGAGAGUUCAUUACACCAGGGAUUCUGUUUCUGUACAUUGCUGGAUGGAUUGGGUGGGUUGGAAGGAGUUAUUUGAUUGCUAUUAGGGAUGAGAAGAAGCCUACAAUGAAAGAGAUCAUCAUCGAUGUUCCAUUGGCUUCAAGUUUGGUAUUCCGUGGGUUUAUUUGGCCAGUUGCUGCU
This 757-nucleotide long non-coding RNA is filed under the name Lactuca sativa (garden lettuce). Its description in RNAcentral is "long non-coding RNA (LSAT_LNC003419)". Lineage: Eukaryota; Viridiplantae; Streptophyta; Magnoliopsida; Asterales; Asteraceae. The record is from RNAcentral.